This 742-nucleotide ribosomal RNA is filed under the name uncultured bacterium. RNAcentral describes it as "bacterial SSU rRNA". It matches the Rfam family "Bacterial small subunit ribosomal RNA", at positions 8 to 796 of the family's 1533-position model. The record is from RNAcentral.
AGAGUUUGAUCCUGGCUCAGAGCGAACGCUGGCGGCAGGCCUAACACAUGCAAGUCGAACGAACUCUUCGGAGUUAGUGGCGGACGGGUGAGUAACACGUGGGAACGUGCCUUUUGGUUCGGAAUAACUCAGGGAAACUUGUGCUAAUACCGAAUGUGCCCUUCGGGGGAAAGAUUUAUCGCCAUUAGAGCGGCCCGCGUCUGAUUAGCUAGUUGGUGAGGUAAAGGCUCACCAAGGCGACGAUCAGUAGCUGGUCUGAGAGGAUGAUCAGCCACAUUGGGACUGAGACACGGCCCAAACUCCUACGGGAGGCAGCAGUGGGGAAUCUUGCGCAAUGGGCGAAAGCCUGACGCAGCCAUGCCGCGUGAAUGAUGAAGGUCUUAGGAUUGUAAAAUUCUUUCACCGGGGACGAUAAUGACGGUACCCGGAGAAGAAGCCCCGGCUAACUUCGUGCCAGCAGCCGCGGUAAUACGAAGGGGGCUAGCGUUGCUCGGAAUUACUGGGCGUAAAGGGAGCGUAGGCGGACAUUUAAGUCAGGGGUGAAAUCCCGGGGCUCAACCUCGGAAUUGCCUUUGAUACUGGGUGUCUUGAGUAUGAGAGAGGUAUGUGGAACUCCGAGUGUAGAGGUGAAAUUCGUAGAUAUUCGGAAGAACACCAGUGGCGAAGGCGACAUACUGGCUCAUUACUGACGCUGAGGCUCGAAAGCGUGGGGAGCAAACAGGAUUAGAUACCCNNGUAGUCC